This 272-nucleotide long non-coding RNA is filed under the name Setaria viridis. RNAcentral's name for it is "long non-coding RNA (SVIR_LNC003343)". The record is from RNAcentral. Lineage: Eukaryota; Viridiplantae; Streptophyta; Magnoliopsida; Poales; Poaceae.
ACCCAUUCAGAAACCACCUACCACAUUUUGAGCAUGAUAAUUGUACCAUACAUAAUCCCUAAAUACUGCCAUUCAGAAACCAUCUACAACAUUUUGAGCAUUCCUGCCAUCUGAAUCAGAAAGAAAAGACCUCACAGAAGCCUGAAGGCACAACAAUUUUAUCCAUUACAUGUUUGUCCAGCAUUCACAAUCAACUCAAGACAAAUCUUAUUUAUAGCCACAAAUAACCAAAACACAUAUGAAUCUCCAUUCCAUUACUGUUGUUUUUCCUC